Molecule: ribosomal RNA, 557 nt
Filed under: Phascolosoma esculenta
Lineage: Eukaryota; Metazoa; Annelida; Sipuncula; Phascolosomatiformes; Phascolosomatidae
Description: partial 16S ribosomal RNA
Rfam family: Bacterial large subunit ribosomal RNA
Source: RNAcentral
UCCGAUAUUGGAGGCAUUGCCUGCCCAGUGACAACUGUUUAACGGCCGCGGUAUCCUGACCGUGCAAAGGUAGCAUAAUCAUUUGUUCUCUAAAUAAGGACUUGUAUGAAUGGCCGCACGAGGGUUUUACUGUCUCUUACUUCCAAUCAGUGAAAUUGACCUUCCCGUGAAGAGGCGGGAAUGCACAAAUAAGACGAGAAGACCCUAUGGAGCUUUAACUAACCAACCCAAAGAGAAUAGAUUUAACCAUUAAGGAAUAACAACAAUCUCCAUGAGUUGGUAGUUUCGGUUGGGGUGACCUCGGAGAAUAAAAAAUCCUCCGAGCGAUUUUAAAGACUAGACCCACAAGUCAAAUCACUCUAUCGCUCAUUGAUCCAAAAACUUGAUCAACGGAACAAGUUACCCUAGGGAUAACAGCGCAAUCCUAUUCAAGAGUCCAUAUCGACAAUAGGGUUUACGACCUCGAUGUUGGAUCAGGACAUCCUGAUGGUGCAACCGCUAUCAAAGGUUCGUUUGUUCAACGAUUAAAGUCCUACGUGAUCUGAGUUCAGACCGGA